RNAcentral lists this ribosomal RNA (754 nucleotides) under uncultured bacterium. RNAcentral's name for it is "bacterial SSU rRNA". It matches the Rfam family "Bacterial small subunit ribosomal RNA", at positions 667 to 1421 of the family's 1533-position model. The record is from RNAcentral.
UNCCAUGUGUAGCGGUGAAAUGCGUAGAUAUAUGGAGGANCACCAGUGGCGAAAGCGGCUCUCUGGUCUGUCACUGACGCUGAGGCUNGAAAGCGUGGGCAGCGAACGGGAUUAGAUACCCUGGUAGUNCACGCCGUAAACGAUGAGUGCUAGGUGUUAGGCCCUUUCCGGGGCUUAGUGCCGGAGCUAACGCAAUAAGCACUCCGCCUGGGGAGUACGACCGCAAGGUUGAAACUCAAAGGAAUUGACGGGGGCCCGCACAAGUGGUGGAGCAUGUGGUUUAAUUCGAAGCAACGCGAAGAACCUUACCAGGUCUUGACAUCCCGAUGCUAUUCUUAGAGAUAGGAAGUUACUUCGGUACAUCGGAGACAGGUGGUGCAUGGUUGUCGUCAGCUCGUGUCGUGAGAUGUUGGGUUAAGUCCCGCAACGAGCGCAACCCUUAUUGUUAGUUGCCAUCAUUAAGUUGGGCACUCUAGCGAGACUGCCGGUAAUAAACCGGAGGAAGGUGGGGAUGACGUCAAAUCAUCAUGCCCCUUAUGACCUGGGCUACACACGUGCUACAAUGGUCGGUACAACGAGUUGCGAGCCGGUGACGGCAAGCUAAUCUCUGAAAGCCGAUCUCAGUUCGGAUUGGAGGCUGCACCUCGCCUCCAUGAAGUCGGAAUCGCUAGUAAUCGCGGAUCAGCACGCCGCGGUGAAUACGUUCCCGGGCCUUGUACACACCGCCCGUCACACCACGAGAGUUUGUAACACC